RNAcentral lists this ribosomal RNA (236 nucleotides) under uncultured bacterium. Its description in RNAcentral is "partial 16S ribosomal RNA". It matches the Rfam family "Bacterial small subunit ribosomal RNA", at positions 96 to 334 of the family's 1533-position model. The record is from RNAcentral.
CGGCGGACGGGUGAGUAACGCGUGGGUAACCUGCCUCAUACAGGGGAUAACAGUUAGAAAUGACUGCUAAUACCGCAUAAGACCACGGUACCGCAUGGUACAGUGGUAAAAACUCCGGUGGUAUGAGAUGGACCCGCGUCUGAUUAGGUAGUUGGUGGGUAACGGCCUACCAAGCCGACGAUCAGUAGCCGACCUGAGAGGGUGACCGGCCACAUUGGGACUGAGACACGGCCCAG